This 527-nucleotide ribosomal RNA is filed under the name uncultured bacterium. RNAcentral describes it as "bacterial SSU rRNA". It matches the Rfam family "Bacterial small subunit ribosomal RNA", at positions 28 to 601 of the family's 1533-position model. The record is from RNAcentral.
AACGAACGCUGGCGGCAGGCUUAACACAUGCAAGUCGAGCGAGAUCUUCGGAUCUAGCGGCGGACGGGUGAGUAACGCGUGGGAACGUGCCCUUUGCUACGGAAUAGUCCCGGGAAACUGGGUUUAAUACCGUAUACGCCCUUUGGGGGAAAGAUUUAUCGGCAAAGGAUCGGCCCGCGUUGGAUUAGGUAGUUGGUGGGGUAAUGGCCUACCAAGCCGACGAUCCAUAGCUGGUUUGAGAGGAUGAUCAGCCACACUGGGACUGAGACACGGCCCAGACUCCUACGGGAGGCAGCAGUGGGGAAUCUUAGACAAUGGGGGCAACCCUGAUCUAGCCAUGCCGCGUGAGUGAUGAAGGCCUUAGGGUUGUAAAGCUCUUUCAGCUGGGAAGAUAAUGACGGUACCAGCAGAAGAAGCCCCGGCUAACUCCGUGCCAGCAGCCGCGGUAAUACGGAGGGGGCUAGCGUUGUUCGGAAUUACUGGGCGUAAAGCGCACGUAGGCGGAUCGGAAAGUUGGGGGUGAAACG